This 396-nucleotide ribosomal RNA is filed under the name uncultured bacterium. Its description in RNAcentral is "partial 16S ribosomal RNA". It matches the Rfam family "Bacterial small subunit ribosomal RNA", at positions 523 to 918 of the family's 1533-position model. The record is from RNAcentral.
AUACGUAGGGGGCGAGCGUUGUCCGGAAUGAUUGGGCGUAAAGGGCGCGUAGGCGGCCCGGUAAGUCUGGAGUGAAAGUCCUGCUUUUAAGGUGGGAAUUGCUUUGGAUACUGUCGGGCUUGAGUGCAGGAGAGGUAAGUGGAAUUCCCAGUGUAGCGGUGAAAUGCGUAGAGAUUGGGAGGAACACCAGUGGCGAAGGCGACUUACUGGACUGUAACUGACGCUGAGGCGCGAAAGUGUGGGGAGCAAACAGGAUUAGAUACCCUGGUAGUCCACACUGUAAACGAUGAAUGCUAGGUGUAGGGGUAUCGACCCCUUCUGUGCCGCAGUAAACACAAUAAGCAUUCCGCCUGGGGAGUACGGCCGCAAGGUUGAAACUCAAAUGAAUUGGCGGGG